Molecule: long non-coding RNA, 1677 nt
Filed under: Olea europaea subsp. europaea
Lineage: Eukaryota; Viridiplantae; Streptophyta; Magnoliopsida; Lamiales; Oleaceae
Source: RNAcentral
CUGAAACCUAAAAGAAUCUUUUCUUUCUUUAACAUUGACAAAUCCAAUCCCGACAAAACACAAAACAAUGAAAAGCAUCAAAAGUCACAAAUGUUCACGGUUGAAUUCAAAUUCUUAGGCAACUCGGGAAGAUGAGAUAGUAAAUUUAAAACUAUUUAUUCAAGGAUUUUACCAAAUUAAUGGAUUUUACAACUUCCAAGUAAUGACAUUUCAAACAGGCCAUAAACUAUUAAUAAUAGACGUCAUAACUACUAAGGCAUAAGCAAUAUGCAUGGAAAACCUUAGACAGUGAAAUUUAAGCUCAUAAACUGAGAUAUGGACGGAAUGUAGAAAGGAACGAGAGAUUCAACUAAAAGAUUCGUUUAUGCAUACCUUUAGUAGAGGAAAUUUAAAUGAUAGUAAGUUAACCAUCAUCCUUUCAGAAACACAGGAAUAUUUAUAGUGUUGCAACAUGGAAGAGUGACAAGCAACUGAAAAGGUAUAAAUUAAUAUAACAAAGAGCAACUACCAAAAUCCAACUGCUACUUAAACCAUGAAAGAUUCCUUGAAUGAAACCAAGGCCAAGCUUUUGCAAAGCAUAAUUCCAAACUUUUAUUUUAAAUCAAUAACCAGAACAUAGAACUCACAUCAUGCAAGCUAAAAUUGAAAGUUCAGAAUAGAUCUUAAGCUAAAUAAAAUAAAAAUAGAAUACGUGAACAUUAACACCAUGUGCAGCCAGAAAAAUAUCUGAAUGGCAUGCAUGAUAUUGGAGAUAUUUAGGAGAACAUGUGAACAUCUUUUGAAUUUAUCUUGUGAACUAUCAAGUGUGGGGAGUUUGAUUCCUGGAAGGCACAACUUGGAAGGCAAGAUUUAUCUUGGAAGGCAAGUUGCUCUAAAGUAGUGAAGAGGCUCACUUUGGGGAAGGAGUAAAAGUCGUGUGGGAAUCUGGGAACCAACAAAGGCACAUCCCGCGAUUUACCUCCCUGAACUGCUGAGGGACCGGAGGUUCAGGGACGAGGAUAUAGUCUGGAGCAAGCUGGGACAUCUCGUUAAAAAAAAUAAAACAAGUAAUCAUUUACAGAAAGCUACAAAUACAAAAACAAUACUAAUUUAACAAUUUUUCAACAGAAUGAGAAGACAAACAAAAAUAUGUCAACAGAUUCUGAAUGAGCUAGACAAGCACAAGGACACAAAGAAAAAGAUGAAAAUUUGAAGAAAAAUUUUAAUAUGGGCCAAUGCAUCCACGGAUUCAACAAAUCAAGCCAUAAAAUUGUAAAUUAUUGAUAAUUCAGAUUACAAAAAUAUAAAUGAUUCGGAUACAGACAGAAAUCAACACGUCAAAAUUGUAACAAAUAAAAAACGGUCGAAGAACAAAUGAUUCGAAUGAUUCAAGGAACAAAAGUAAUACUAAACAGACCUAAUAGUUUAUGAAACAAAUGAUUCGAAUUUACCUCAAUAAAUGUGAAUUUUUGCUUAAUCCUUCCUCGCGCGGUGAACAAUGGUGGCCAAUGAAAUUAGAUAGGUACAAUUGAAGUUUACAAAUGCUCAUUCAAUUUUUGAAAGGUUGAAGUUCGUUGAUGCUUCUUUCCCGUUGAUGCUUCUUCUUCUUCUUUGGGAGCCCAUGAGAUUUUCAAAGAGUUAUCUUAUUUAGGGUUUAAGGAUAAAAGGGGAAAAUAGAAAAUCAAAACUUUAUUAUUA